Molecule: transfer RNA, 69 nt
Filed under: Linuparus trigonus
Lineage: Eukaryota; Metazoa; Arthropoda; Malacostraca; Decapoda; Palinuridae
Description: tRNA-Asn
Source: RNAcentral
UUAAUGGAAGCCAAAAUUAGAGGCCUAUCACUGUUAAUGAUACCACUGAAAAACAAUUUUCUCAUUAAG